AUAUUGCACAAUGGGCGCAAGCCUGAUGCAGCCAUGCCGCGUGUAUGAAGAAGGCCUUCGGGUUGUAAAGUACUUUCAGCAGUGAGGAAGGCAGAUACGUUAAUAGCGUGCUUGUUUGACGUUAGCUGCAGAAGAAGCACC
RNAcentral lists this ribosomal RNA (141 nucleotides) under uncultured Vibrio sp. RNAcentral's name for it is "partial 16S ribosomal RNA". It matches the Rfam family "Bacterial small subunit ribosomal RNA", at positions 361 to 494 of the family's 1533-position model. The record is from RNAcentral. Lineage: Bacteria; Pseudomonadati; Pseudomonadota; Gammaproteobacteria; Vibrionales; Vibrionaceae.